Molecule: ribosomal RNA, 433 nt
Filed under: uncultured bacterium
Lineage: Bacteria
Description: partial 16S ribosomal RNA
Rfam family: Bacterial small subunit ribosomal RNA
Source: RNAcentral
AACGAACGCCGGCGGCAUGCCUAACACAUGCAAGUCGAACGAGACCUUCGGGUCUAGUUUCGCACGGGUGCGUAACGCGUGGGAACCUGCCCUUAGGUUCGGAAUAACUCCCCGAAAGGGGUGCUAAUACCGGAUAAUGUCUUCGGACCAAAGAUUUAUCGCCUUUGGAUGGGCCCGCGUUGGAUUAGCUAGUUGGUAGGGUAAAAGCCUACCAAGGCGACGAUCCAUAGCUGGUCUGAGAGGAUGAUCAGCCACACUGGGACUGAGACACGGCCCAGACUCCUACGGGAGGCAGCAGUGGGGAAUAUUGGACCAUGGGCGAAAGCCUGAUCCAGCAAUGCCGCGUGAGCGAUGAAGGCCUUGGGGUUGUAAAGCUCUUUUACCCGGGAUGAUAAUGACAGUACCGGGAGAAUAAGCUCCGGCUAACUCCGUG